AAUGGGCUUUGGCCUCUCUCUCACUUGAAGAAAGAUAGCCACUGUUCUUAUCUACGCAAUUAUGUGAGAGCUGUAGGAGCAUUUUUCAUCUUCAUUUCAGUGCUUUGGUCUACCAUUUUGGAAAGCAGGGGCAAGCCAGGCAUCAUACAUUUUCGAUUUUGUCAAUUUACAUAAUAGUCAAGCUUCUCGCUUUGCUUGCUGUGAAAAUGAUCUUCAUAAUCAAGUUCCCUACUUAACUAAC
Molecule: long non-coding RNA, 241 nt
Filed under: Elaeis guineensis (African oil palm)
Lineage: Eukaryota; Viridiplantae; Streptophyta; Magnoliopsida; Arecales; Arecaceae
Description: long non-coding RNA (EGUI_LNC030641)
Source: RNAcentral